UGGCUAUUAAUCUGUGAUAACAUGAUUAUUAAAUCAAUAUUGAAUGCGUGUUUAAACUUGUCCAUUAUUGUACGUAGUGACCUUUAACAUGUUGAUACGUGUCAAUAAACCCGCCAUUUUGAAAAAUCGCGUCUGUCUUUUGAAAUCAUUAAAUCGUUAUAUUAUUGACACUUAUUAGAAUAAUAUAUCUUAAUAUUUAUAGGAUGAUUUUUUUUUUAAGUAUUUG
Molecule: long non-coding RNA, 226 nt
Filed under: Mytilus galloprovincialis (Mediterranean mussel)
Lineage: Eukaryota; Metazoa; Mollusca; Bivalvia; Mytilida; Mytilidae
Source: RNAcentral